RNAcentral lists this ribosomal RNA (389 nucleotides) under Paragymnodinium sp. Its description in RNAcentral is "partial small subunit ribosomal RNA". It matches the Rfam family "Eukaryotic small subunit ribosomal RNA", at positions 582 to 975 of the family's 1831-position model. Lineage: Eukaryota; Dinophyceae; Gymnodiniales; Gymnodiniaceae. The record is from RNAcentral.
AUUCCAGCUCCAAUAGCGUAUAUUAAAAUUGUUGCGGUUAAAAAGCUCGUAGUUGGAUUUCUGCUGAGGACGACCGGUCCGCCCACUGGGUAAGUAUCUGGCUCGGCCUUGGCAUCUUCUUGGAGAACGUAUCUGCACUUGAGUGUGUGGUGCGGUAACCAUGACCUUUACAUUGAGGAAAUUAAACUGUUCCAAGCAGGCGUGCGCCUUGAAUACAUUAGCAUGGAAUCAUAAGAUAGGACCUUAGUUCUAUUUUGUUGGUUUCUAGAGCUGGGGUAAAGAUUAAUAGGGAUAGUUGGGGGCAUUCGUAUUUAAUUGUCAGAAGUGAAAUUCUUGGAUUUGUUAAAAACGGAUUACUGCGAAAGCAUUUGCCAAGGAUGUUUUCAUUA